AGCCUCUAAGGUCUCGUUUUCCUUCUUCAGAGCACCAAUAGCCUCGUCCCGGCAAAUAACCUCCCGGGAGCAACGCUCCUCCAAGGCGGCAGCCAUGUGAUGACCCUGCUCAAAAAAUAAAAGUUACAACCAACCUCCGAGCGAAAAACGGCGAAGGAAAAUAUAACACAUCGCAAACGUACAAGGCUAUGGUGCUCAUAUUGCACGCGGAGUAGCGUGUCAAAAUCCAUGUUGCGAAGCUUCUGACGGAAACGAUCUGUAAAUCAGAAACAAGUAAGAAAAAAAUCAUAAGAAACAAAAACCCAUUAGCGGAGGCCAGACAACAAAACUCCGACCAAGAAUGAACCUCGCGCAAGGCAUCAGUCCAACCUGUGAUCGAAGGAUCAGAAGCUCCUGCGCAAAACCAAAACCAACCUUAGAAUAAAAUACAAAAAAAACCAAUGAGUUGAACAAAGAAGAAGAAACUCACCGGGACCAAGAACAUCAGCAGGCGAAGGCCUGCUGACCAGCGCAGAAGGCGCAGGCUCACGCCGCGGAGGAACAGCAAGUCCUUCCUGCGCAACGCUGGCGCCUUUAGCCAACUCCUCCGCGGUAGCCAGCCCAGCAAAAACAUCCUCUGAAAAAUAUAUAAGUAACAUGAGACCAAGUCAAUCAAAAAAUACAGAAAAACAAGAAUCAACAAAAAAAUCUUUACCCAUGUACAAUGAGUUUAUACCAUCUCCAGCCGGACGCGGGGGAACCUCCACCCUCUUUAUCCUCCGAACAGAGGCAGACUCUGCUUCAUCACUGGAUUCAUCCCGCACAUCCUUUGGCGGAGAUCCUCCACCAGCUAAAACCUCC
RNAcentral lists this long non-coding RNA (840 nucleotides) under Sorghum bicolor (sorghum). Its description in RNAcentral is "long non-coding RNA (SBIC_LNC004120)". The record is from RNAcentral. Lineage: Eukaryota; Viridiplantae; Streptophyta; Magnoliopsida; Poales; Poaceae.